GCUGGAUUCGUAUAGUGGUUAUUACACUGGCAUGGUAAGCCAGUAAGACAAGUUCAAUUCUUGUAUCCAGCACCA
RNAcentral lists this transfer RNA (75 nucleotides) under Bacillus sp. M6-12. Its description in RNAcentral is "tRNA-Thr". It matches the Rfam family "tRNA". From Rfam's summary of the family: Transfer RNA (tRNA) molecules are approximately 80 nucleotides in length. Their secondary structure includes four short double-helical elements and three loops (D, anti-codon, and T loops). Further hydrogen bonds mediate the characteristic L-shaped molecular structure. tRNAs have two regions of fundamental functional importance: the anti-codon, which is responsible for specific mRNA codon recognition, and the 3' end, to which the tRNAs corresponding amino acid is attached (by aminoacyl-tRNA synthetases). tRNAs cope with the degeneracy of the genetic code in two manners: having more than one tRNA (with a specific anti-codon) for a particular amino acid; and 'wobble' base-pairing, i.e. permitting non-standard base-pairing at the 3rd anti-codon position. The record is from RNAcentral. Lineage: Bacteria; Bacillati; Bacillota; Bacilli; Caryophanales; Bacillaceae.